AGAGUUUGAUCCUGGCUCAGGAUGAACUCUGGCGGCGUGCUUAACACAUGCAAGUCGAACGAAGCAUUUAAGACAGAUUACUUCGGUUUGAAGUCUUUUAUGACUGAGUGGCGGACGGGUGAGUAACGCGUGGGUAACCUGCCUCAUACAGGGGGAUAGCAGCUGGAAACGGCUGGUAAUACCGCAUAAGCGCACAGUACCACAUGGUACAGUGUGAAAAACUCCGGUGGUAUGAGAUGGACCCGCGUCUGAUUAGCUUGUUGGCGGGGUAACGGCCCACCAAGGCGACGAUCAGUAGCCGACCUGAGAGGGUGACCGGCCACAUUGGGACUGAGACACGGCCCAGACUCCUACGGGAGGCAGCAGUGGGGAAUAUUGCACAAUGGAGGAAACUCUGAUGCAGCGACGCCGCGUGAGUGAAGAAGUAGUUCGCUAUGUAAAGCUCUAUCAGCAGGGAAGAUAGUGACGGUACCUGACUAAGAAGCUCCGGCUAAAUACGUGCCAGCAGCCGCGGUAAUACGUAUGGAGCAAGCGUUAUCCGGAUUUACUGGGUGUAAAGGGAGUGUAGGUGGCCAGGCAAGUCAGAAGUGAAAGCCCGGGGCUCAACCCCGGGACUGCUUUUGAAACUGCAGGGCUAGAGUGCAGGAGGGGCAAGUGGAAUUCCUAGUGUAGCGGUGAAAUGCGUAGAUAUUAGGAGGAACACCAGUGGCGAAGGCGGCUUGCUGGACUGUAACUGACACUGAGGCUCGAAAGCGUGGGGAGCAAACAGAAAUAGAUACCCUGGUAGUCCACGCCGUAAACGA
RNAcentral lists this ribosomal RNA (803 nucleotides) under uncultured bacterium. RNAcentral's name for it is "bacterial SSU rRNA". It matches the Rfam family "Bacterial small subunit ribosomal RNA", at positions 8 to 809 of the family's 1533-position model. The record is from RNAcentral.